Long non-coding RNA from Pseudophryne corroboree (corroboree frog), 496 nucleotides. RefSeq lists it as uncharacterized. The record is from RefSeq and is a predicted model, not a curated record. The transcript is spliced from 4 exons. Lineage: Eukaryota; Metazoa; Chordata; Amphibia; Anura; Myobatrachidae.
CGGCAAUGUUUAGUUCAAGUGACAGGUUAACCUCUGAUAAUUGAGACACUAUCCUCUCCUACCUGGAAACAGAUUGGUUUAAAAGUUUAGAAUCAACAACAGCUCUGCCACACAAAGUCUGAGAUUGGGACCAAAGAGUGCUGAAGCAUGAAUUGUGUAAAAAGCUUCUCUCAAAUGCAACACUCACUACAGAGUUCCAAACUGGGUCUGAAAGCAAUGUAUGCACAAGGACUGUUUGGAUGAAGCCAAUCUUCAGCUGGAGACCUGAAUGGCUCCUCCUGCGCCUACGUUCCUCUCCUGAUGGGCUUGGUCAAUCUCGCAUGAGAGGUUUAUGUACUUCAAGCGGCAAUGCCCCUUAAAACUUGAUAGAGUUUGGGCUCUGUGAAAAUCCUCCAGAUGAGCCCAUAGGAGACGUCACAUGUCAGAUUCUGCCCCAAGUCAUUCAGUGGUAUAUCUGGGAAAUUCACUGCUCUGCAGGAAAUAUUCUCUGGCUUCU